UAAGGAAUAUUGGUCAAUGGGCGGAAGCCUGAACCAGCCAUGCCGCGUGCAGGAAGACGGCCCUACGGGUUGUAAACUGCUUUUAUACGGGAAUAAACCUCACUACGUGUAGUGAGCUGAAUGUACUGUAAGAAUAAGGAUCGGCUAACUCCGUGCCAGCAGCCGCGGUAAUACGGAGGAUCCAAGCGUUAUCCGGAUUUAUUGGGUUUAAAGGGUGCGUAGGCGGCCUGUUAAGUCAGGGGUGAAAGACGGUAGCUUAACUAUCGCAGUGCCCUUGAUACUGAUGGGCUUGAAUAUACUUGAGGUAGGCGGAAUGUGACAAGUAGCGGUGAAAUGCAUAGAUAUGUCACAGAACACCAAUUGCGAAGGCAGCUUACUAAGGUAUGAUUGACGCUGAGGCACGAAAGCGUGGGGAUCAAACA
RNAcentral lists this ribosomal RNA (422 nucleotides) under uncultured Mucilaginibacter sp. RNAcentral describes it as "bacterial SSU rRNA". It matches the Rfam family "Bacterial small subunit ribosomal RNA", at positions 355 to 774 of the family's 1533-position model. The record is from RNAcentral. Lineage: Bacteria; Pseudomonadati; Bacteroidota; Sphingobacteriia; Sphingobacteriales; Sphingobacteriaceae.